RNAcentral lists this ribosomal RNA (256 nucleotides) under uncultured prokaryote. RNAcentral describes it as "partial 16S ribosomal RNA". It matches the Rfam family "Bacterial small subunit ribosomal RNA", at positions 522 to 777 of the family's 1533-position model. The record is from RNAcentral.
AAUACGAAGGGGGCUAGCGUUGUUCGGAAUUACUGGGCGUAAAGCGCACGUAGGCGGAUAUUUAAGUCAGGGGUGAAAUCCCGGGGCUCAACCCCGGAACUGCCUUUGAUACUGGGUAUCUCGAGUCCGAGAGAGGUGAGUGGAAUUCCGAGUGUAGAGGUGAAAUUCGUAGAUAUUCGGAGGAACACCAGUGGCGAAGGCGGCUCACUGGCUCGGUACUGACGCUGAGGUGCGAAAGCGUGGGGAGCAAACAGGA